This 253-nucleotide ribosomal RNA is filed under the name uncultured bacterium. Its description in RNAcentral is "partial 16S ribosomal RNA". It matches the Rfam family "Bacterial small subunit ribosomal RNA", at positions 524 to 776 of the family's 1533-position model. The record is from RNAcentral.
UACGUAGGGUGCGAGCGUUGUCCGGAAUUAUUGGGCGUAAAGAGCUCGUAGGCGGCCUGUCGCGUCGGUUGUGAAAGCCCGGGGCUUAACCCCGGGUCUGCAAUCGAUACGGGCAGGCUAGAGUUCGGUAGGGGAGAUCGGAAUUCCUGGUGUAGCGGUGAAAUGCGCAGAUAUCAGGAGGAACACCGGUGGCGAAGGCGGAUCUCUGGGCCGAUACUGACGCUGAGGAGCGAAAGCGUGGGGAGCGAACAGG